RNAcentral lists this ribosomal RNA (552 nucleotides) under Alepocephalus tenebrosus (California slickhead). Its description in RNAcentral is "partial 16S ribosomal RNA". It matches the Rfam family "Bacterial large subunit ribosomal RNA", at positions 1851 to 2603 of the family's 2925-position model. The record is from RNAcentral. Lineage: Eukaryota; Metazoa; Chordata; Actinopteri; Alepocephaliformes; Alepocephalidae.
GGUCCCGCCUGCCCUGUGACUCUAGUUUAACGGCCGCGGUAUUUUGACCGUGCGAAGGUAGCGCAAUCACUUGUCUUUUAAAUGAGGACCUGUAUGAAUGGCAUCACGAGGGCUUAGCUGUCUCCUUUUCCAAGUCAAUGAAAUUGAUCUACCCGUGCAGAAGCGGGUAUACCCCUACAAGACGAGAAGACCCUGUGGAGCUUAAGAUAUAAGGUCAACCACGUCAAACAACCAAACUCAAAGGUAUAAACAAAGUGUGAACAUGACCAACAUGUCUUCGGUUGGGGCGACCGCGGGGGAGAAACAAGCCCCCACGUGGACCGGGAUUAUUCCUAAAGCCAAGAGGUACACCUCUAAGCCUCAGAACAUCUGACCAUAAAUGAUCCGGCAAAAGCCGAUCAACGAACCAAGUUACCCCAGGGAUAACAGCGCAAUCCUCUCCCAGAGUCCAUAUCGACGAGGGGGUUUACGACCUCGAUGUUGGAUCAGGACAUCCUAAUGGUGCAGCCGCUAUUAAGGGUUCGUUUGUUCAACGAUUAAAGUCCUACGUGA